GCUCAGGAUGAACGCUAGCGGCAGGCUUAACACAUGCAAGUCGAGGGGUAUAGUUCUUCGGAACUAGAGACCGGCGCACGGGUGCGUAACGCGUAUGCAAUCUACCUUUUACAGAGGGAUAGCCCAGAGAAAUUUGGAUUAAUACCUCAUAGUAUAUAGCCCUGGCAUCAGGAUUAUAUUAAAGUCACAACGGUAAAAGAUGAGCAUGCGUCCCAUUAGCUAGUUGGUAAGGUAACGGCUUACCAAGGCUACGAUGGGUAGGGGUCCUGAGAGGGAGAUCCCCCACACUGGUACUGAGACACGGACCAGACUCCUACGGGAGGCAGCAGUGAGGAAUAUUGGACAAUGGGCGCAAGCCUGAUCCAGCCAUGCCGCGUGCAGGAUGACGGUCCUAUGGAUUGUAAACUGCUUUUAUACGAGAAGAAACACUCCGACGUGUCGGAGCUUGACGGUAUCGUAAGAAUAAGGAUCGGCUAACUCCGUGCCAGCAGCCGCGGUAAUACGGAGGAUCCAAGCGUUAUCCGGAAUCAUUGGGUUUAAAGGGUCCGUAGGCGGUUUAAUAAGUCAGUGGUGAAAGCCCAUCGCUCAACGGUGGAACGGCCAUUGAUACUGUUAGACUUGAAUUAUUAGGAAGUAACUAGAAUAUGUAGUGUAGCGGUGAAAUGCUUAGAGAUUACAUGGAAUACC
RNAcentral lists this ribosomal RNA (687 nucleotides) under Flavobacterium sp. RNAcentral describes it as "bacterial SSU rRNA". It matches the Rfam family "Bacterial small subunit ribosomal RNA", at positions 22 to 710 of the family's 1533-position model. The record is from RNAcentral. Lineage: Bacteria; Pseudomonadati; Bacteroidota; Flavobacteriia; Flavobacteriales; Flavobacteriaceae.